RNAcentral lists this ribosomal RNA (253 nucleotides) under uncultured bacterium. Its description in RNAcentral is "partial 16S ribosomal RNA". It matches the Rfam family "Bacterial small subunit ribosomal RNA", at positions 524 to 776 of the family's 1533-position model. The record is from RNAcentral.
UACGUAGGGGGCAAGCGUUGUCCGGAAUCAUUGGGCGUAAAGCGCGUGUAGGCGGCUUGGUAAGUCUGCUCUGAAAGCCCGGGGCUCAACCCCGGGAGGCGGGUGGAUACUGUCAAGCUCGAGUCCGGAAGAGGAGUGUGGAAUUCCUGGUGUAGCGGUGAAAUGCGUAGAUAUCUGGAGGAACACCGGUGGCGAAGGCGGCAUCCUGGACCAACACUGACACUGAGGAGCGAAAGCCAGGGGAGCAAACGGG